RNAcentral lists this ribosomal RNA (467 nucleotides) under uncultured bacterium. Its description in RNAcentral is "partial 16S ribosomal RNA". It matches the Rfam family "Bacterial small subunit ribosomal RNA", at positions 28 to 507 of the family's 1533-position model. The record is from RNAcentral.
GACGAACGCUGGCGGCGUGCUUAACACAUGCAAGUCGAACGGAAAGGCCCUGCUUUUGUGCGGUGCUCGAGUGGCGAACGGGUGAGUAACAAGUGAGUAACCUGCCCUUGACUUUGGGAUAACUUCAGGAAACUGGGGCUAAUACCGGAUAGGAGCUCCUGUUGCAUUGUGGGGGUUGGAAAGUUUCGCCGGUUGGGGAUGGACUCGCGGCUUAUCAGCUUGUUGGUGGGGUAGUGGCUCACCAAGGCGUUGACGGGUAGCCGGCCUGGGAGGGUGACAGGCCACAUUGGGACUGGGGUACGGCCCAGACGCCUAAGGGGGGGAGGAGGGGGGAAUAUUGCAAAAUGGGCGGAAGCCUGAUGCAGGAACGCCGGGUGGGGGAUGACGGCUUUCGGGAUGGAAACGGGUUUCGCCUGUGACGAAGCGUGAGGAAGGGUAAUGGAUAAGAAGCACCGGCUAACUACGUG